This 516-nucleotide ribosomal RNA is filed under the name Aspergillus flavus. Its description in RNAcentral is "eukaryotic LSU rRNA". The stretch from base 146 to 299 matches the Rfam family "5.8S ribosomal RNA". Lineage: Eukaryota; Fungi; Ascomycota; Eurotiomycetes; Eurotiales; Aspergillaceae. The record is from RNAcentral.
CGUGUUUACUGUACCUUAGUUGCUUCGGCGGGCCCGCCAUUCAUGGCCGCCGGGGGCUCUCAGCCCCGGGCCCGCGCCCGCCGGAGACACCACGAACUCUGUCUGAUCUAGUGAAGUCUGAGUUGAUUGUAUCGCAAUCAGUUAAAACUUUCAACAAUGGAUCUCUUGGUUCCGGCAUCGAUGAAGAACGCAGCGAAAUGCGAUAACUAGUGUGAAUUGCAGAAUUCCGUGAAUCAUCGAGUCUUUGAACGCACAUUGCGCCCCCUGGUAUUCCGGGGGGCAUGCCUGUCCGAGCGUCAUUGCUGCCCAUCAAGCACGGCUUGUGUGUUGGGUCGUCGUCCCCUCUCCGGGGGGGACGGGCCCCAAAGGCAGCGGCGGCACCGCGUCCGAUCCUCGAGCGUAUGGGGCUUUGUCACCCGCUCUGUAGGCCCGGCCGGCGCUUGCCGAACGCAAAUCAAUCUUUUUCCAGGUUGACCUCGGAUCAGGUAGGGAUACCCGCUGAACUUAAGCAUAUCA